CUUGUAUCAAUGGAAAAUGGGGAGCAAGAGUAAUUUUAAGUUGUAAAAUGGGAUUUAUACAAAAAUGAAAGGAGGAAAUCGUCAUUGAGCAAUGAUCCCUUCCAACCUGAGAAGAACAAAGUUUUCCCACACGUCUUGUCUGUAGGGUCACUGAACAUCAUUCAAAGUGGAAAAAUCAAUGUGCCCUUUCAGCUUUUCCCAACUGUGCCUGCAGAGGUAACAUGCAUUGUGAUACAGCCUGGCAGGGGAAAACCACUACAAUGAAAGGCAUUUGAAAACAUUACAUCAACUCACCACCAGAACCACAUUUAGAAUAUUUUUUAGACAUUUUGAA
Non-coding RNA from Pelobates cultripes (western spadefoot toad), 334 nucleotides. NCBI's taxonomy places the organism in Eukaryota, Metazoa, Chordata, Amphibia, Anura, Pelobatidae. The record is from the annotation of a GenBank genome assembly.